UAACUUACGUGGAUAAACUUGUCC
RNAcentral lists this non-coding RNA (24 nucleotides) under Arabidopsis thaliana (thale cress). The record is from RNAcentral. Lineage: Eukaryota; Viridiplantae; Streptophyta; Magnoliopsida; Brassicales; Brassicaceae.